This 515-nucleotide ribosomal RNA is filed under the name uncultured bacterium. RNAcentral's name for it is "partial 16S ribosomal RNA". It matches the Rfam family "Bacterial small subunit ribosomal RNA", at positions 28 to 523 of the family's 1533-position model. The record is from RNAcentral.
GAUGAACGCUGGCGGCGUGCCUAAUACAUGCAAGUCGAGCGAAUGGAUUAAGAGCUUGCUCUUAUGAAGUUAGCGGCGGACGGGUGAGUAACACGUGGGUAACCUGCCCAUAAGACUGGGAUAACUCCGGGAAACCGGGGCUAAUACCGGAUAAUAUUUUGAACUGCAUGGUUCAAAAUUGAAAGGCGGCUUCGGCUGUCACUUAUGGAUGGACCCGCGUCGCAUUAGCUAGUUGGUGAGGUAACGGCUCACCAAGGCAACGAUGCGUAGCCGACCUGAGAGGGUGAUCGGCCACACUGGGACUGAGACACGGACCAGACUCGUACGGGAGGCAGCAGUAGGGAAUCUUCCGCAAUGGACGAGAGUCUGACGGAGCAACGCCGCGUGAGUGAUGAAGGCUUUCGGGUCGUAGAACUCUGUUGUUAGGGAAGAACAAGUGCUAGUUGAAUAAGCUGGCACCUUGACGGUACCUAACCAGAAAGCCACGGCUAACUACGUGCCAGCCGCCGCCGUAA